CUGGUUAUGUAAUGUAUUUCAGUUGUUUCCUGUAAUUAGUUAAUAUUUCAGUUUCAUCAUGUACAUCUUUUCUAUAGUAAUUUUAUAAAUUUACUGUUUGCAAAAGUAUAAAUUAUUCUAAAUAAUAGGGAUGCUCUGGUAACUUAAUAGAAAACCCUGGCCGUUUUUGGCACAACUUUUUUUAUCUUUUGGUCCUCGAUGCUGUUCGACUUCGUGCUUGUUUGGGCUUUCAAACUUUUGUAUCUGGGCGUCACUAUUAGAUCUUGUGUGGACAAAAUGCACCUCUGGCGUAUUAAAAUUUUGAACUUGUUGCCUUUUGUUGGCUGUUGUUCGUGUGUUCCUUUGUCAAUUGUGUUCUCCAAUUUAUUUAUAUUGUAGUCCUGUGAUGUUGAGUUGUCAUUUUAAUGUUAUAUUUCACAUGGCUAUAAAAGGGGAGGUUUGGCAUGCC
This 448-nucleotide long non-coding RNA is filed under the name Mytilus galloprovincialis (Mediterranean mussel). Lineage: Eukaryota; Metazoa; Mollusca; Bivalvia; Mytilida; Mytilidae. The record is from RNAcentral.